AGCGUAGGCGGUUUUUGCAAGUCAGAAGUGAAAGGCUACGGCUCAACCGUGGUAAGCUUUUGAAACUGCAAGACUAGAGUGCAGGAGAGGCAAGUGGAAUUCCUAGUGUAGAGGUGAAAUUCGUAGAUAUUAGGAGGAACACCAGUGGCGAAGGCGACUUGCUGGACUGUAACUGACGCUGAGGCUCGAAAGCGGUGGGGAGCGAACA
This 208-nucleotide ribosomal RNA is filed under the name uncultured bacterium. Its description in RNAcentral is "partial 16S ribosomal RNA". It matches the Rfam family "Bacterial small subunit ribosomal RNA", at positions 568 to 774 of the family's 1533-position model. The record is from RNAcentral.